CAGCAGGCGAUACUGAAGCCCCGGCCGGAUCUGGUUCAGCCGCAUCAGGGCGUUCAUUGGCUGGUUGGAGUCUAUGGCUUUGCUGUCCAAGACUGUGGAGAAAAAUAGAGUCGUGCUUCAUCUUCACCUUGUAUGAAGAAAGAGCUGGAGAUGAUUGGGUGGCCUACUAAAACGCAACCAAUCGAUAAUAUUGAUCUGCCUCCGAGGGACUGAAGGAGAGUGAAGAGCAGAAAACCAGACGGGGGGGGGGGAGAAAAGACACAGAAUAGAGACAACGAGAAGAGAGGCAAGAAUCAUCUGAGUGUGGGGCUGCUAUAUACAUUCCUCUUCAUCUUCUUAAUGAGGUCCUUGUCGUCCAUAAAUCCAUCCUCGUAUGGCCUCUUCAAACCCAAGCCUGAGAGAGAGAGACGUGGAGAGUCACUAAUCAAUCACUUUCUACUAGAGGAUGUUUAUAUGAACGCACUCAAAGGCUCUUUUGUGUGGCUGAAAUGCAUGGGGGGGCCUAACAUCUCAGAAAACAAACCAUCCAGGAGCACGAGCGUAAAGAUGGAUCAAUUCACCGAUGAGACAAACAGAAGAGGCAGAGCAGCAAACCUCGAGGAAGACAUAAAUAUCGCAAAAAUGUGGCAAGAGGCAGAUUCUCCUUGUAUCUGCUCAUCGUCCCAGAUGUGACCUGUUCCUCUGCCCUGCUCGUCAGCAAUGCAAAAAAUUAGCAUGAAAACACAGCCGUAUAUUCAUGCGCUCAUCAGG
This is a long non-coding RNA of Paralichthys olivaceus (Japanese flounder), 750 nucleotides long. RefSeq lists it as uncharacterized. The record is from RefSeq and is a predicted model, not a curated record. Lineage: Eukaryota; Metazoa; Chordata; Actinopteri; Pleuronectiformes; Paralichthyidae.